Molecule: ribosomal RNA, 500 nt
Filed under: uncultured bacterium
Lineage: Bacteria
Description: partial 16S ribosomal RNA
Rfam family: Bacterial small subunit ribosomal RNA
Source: RNAcentral
AUUGAACGCUGGCGGCAGGCCUAACACAUGCAAGUCGAGCGGAUGACGGGAGCUUGCUCCUUGAUUCAGCGGCGGACGGGUGAGUAAUGCCUAGGAAUCUGCCUGGUAGUGGGGGACAACGUUUCGAAAGGAACGCUAAUACCGCAUACGUCCUACGGGAGAAAGCAGGGGACCUUCGGGCCUUGCGCUAUCAGAUGAGCCUAGGUCGGAUUAGCUAGUUGGUGAGGUAAUGGCUCACCAAGGCGACGAUCCGUAACUGGUCUGAGAGGAUGAUGAGUCACACUGGAACUGAGAAACGGUCCAGACUCCUACGGGAGGCAGCAGUGGGGAAUAUUGGACAAUGGGCGAAAGCCUGAUCCAGCCAUGCCGCGUGUGUGAAGAAGGUCUUCGGAUUGUAAAGCACUUUAAGUUGGGAGGAAGGGCAGUAAGCUAAUACCUUGCUGUUUUGACGUUACCGACAGAAUAAGCACCGGCUAACUCUGUGCCAGCCGCCGCAGUAA